Molecule: ribosomal RNA, 468 nt
Filed under: uncultured bacterium
Lineage: Bacteria
Description: partial 16S ribosomal RNA
Rfam family: Bacterial small subunit ribosomal RNA
Source: RNAcentral
GACGAACGCUGGCGGCGUGCUUAACACAUGCAAGUCGAACGGAAAGGCCCUGCUUUUGUGGGGUGCUCGAGUGGCGAACGGGUGAGUAACACGUGAGUAACCUGCCCUUGACUUUGGGAUAACUUCAGGAAACUGGGGCUAAUACCGGAUAGGAGCUCCUGCUGCAUGGUGGGGGUUGGAAAGUUUCGGCGGUUGGGGAUGGACUCGCGGCUUAUCAGCUUGUUGGUGGGGUAGUGGCUUACCAAGGCUUUGACGGGUAGCCGGCUUGAGAGGGUGACCGGCCACAUUGGGACUGAGAUACGGCCCAGACUCCUACGGGAGGCAGCAGUGGGGAAUAUUGCACAAUGGGCGGAAGCCUGAUGCAGCAACGCCGCGUGCGGGAUGACGGCCUUCGGGUUGUAAACCGCUUCCGCCUGUGACGAAGCGUGAGUGACGGUAAUGGGUAAAGAAGCACCGGCUAACUACGUG